RNAcentral lists this ribosomal RNA (468 nucleotides) under uncultured bacterium. RNAcentral's name for it is "partial 16S ribosomal RNA". It matches the Rfam family "Bacterial small subunit ribosomal RNA", at positions 28 to 507 of the family's 1533-position model. The record is from RNAcentral.
GACGAACGCUGGCGGCGUGCUUAACACAUGCAAGUCGAACGGAAAGGCCCUGCUUUUGUGGGGUGCUCGAGUGGCGAACGGGUGAGUAACACGUGAGUAACCUGCCCUUGACUUUGGGAUAACUUCAGGAAACUGGGGCUCAUACCGGAUAGGAGCUCCUGCUGCAUGGUGGGGGUUGGAAAGUUUCGGCGGUUGGGGAUGGACUCGCGGCUUAUCAGCUUGUUGGUGGGGUAGUGGCUUACCAAGGCUUUGACGGGUAGCCGGCCUGAGAGGGUGACCGGCCACAUUGGGACUGAGAUACGGCCCAGACUCCUACGGGAGGCAGCAGUGGGGAAUAUUGUACAAUGGGCGGAAGCCUGAUGCAGCAACGCCGCGUGCGGGAUGACGGCCUUCGGGUUGUAAACCGCUUUCGCCUGUGACGAAGCGUGAGUGACGGUAAUGGGUAAAGAAGCACCGGCUAACUACGUG